RNAcentral lists this ribosomal RNA (257 nucleotides) under uncultured bacterium. Its description in RNAcentral is "partial 16S ribosomal RNA". It matches the Rfam family "Bacterial small subunit ribosomal RNA", at positions 524 to 776 of the family's 1533-position model. The record is from RNAcentral.
UACGGGGGGAGCAAGCGUUGUUCGGAUUUACUGGGCGUAAAGGGCGCGGUAGGCGGUCGUGACAAGUCACUUGUGAAAUCUCCGGGCUUAACUCGGAACGGUCAAGUGAUACUGUCGGACUAGAGUACAGCAGGGGCAACUGGAAUUCUCGGUGUAGCGGUGAAAUGCGUAGAUAUCGAGAGGAACACCUGCGGCGAAGGCGGGUUGCUGGGCUGAUACUGACGCUGAGGCGCGAAAGCCAGGGGAGGCGAAACGGG